UAUGUAACUCAAAGGAAAUAGUAGAUUUACAUUAGUUUUUCAGAAAAUGCAUGGUUAAUGAGAAUGCUAAACUAAUCAAAUUGAACUCGUCCACUAAGUUUAAUCGCUGAACUAACAGUAAGUGAUUGCGUCUUAUCCAUGUUACGGAUAUCGAGAGUCAUGCAGCUAAUGUGUGGAACUUAGGUGGUACCGCGAUAAUUCGUCCUAUGA
RNAcentral lists this non-coding RNA (210 nucleotides) under Companilactobacillus ginsenosidimutans. RNAcentral's name for it is "Lactobacillus ginsenosidimutans T-box sequence". It matches the Rfam family "T-box leader". From Rfam's summary of the family: Uncharged tRNA acts as the effector for transcription antitermination of genes in the T-box leader family. T-boxes are found upstream of many aminoacyl-tRNA synthetase genes and some amino acid biosynthetic genes usually in Gram-positive bacteria. The record is from RNAcentral. Lineage: Bacteria; Bacillati; Bacillota; Bacilli; Lactobacillales; Lactobacillaceae.